RNAcentral lists this ribosomal RNA (400 nucleotides) under uncultured bacterium. RNAcentral describes it as "bacterial SSU rRNA". It matches the Rfam family "Bacterial small subunit ribosomal RNA", at positions 359 to 759 of the family's 1533-position model. The record is from RNAcentral.
AGGUGGACUGGGCGCAGCCUGACCGCCUCUCCGCGUGAGUGAAGAAGGCCUUCGGGUUGUAAAGCUCUUUCGCAAGGGAAGAAAACUUAGCCACUAACAUUGGCUGAGGUUGACGGUACCUUGAUAAGAAGCACCGGCUAACUACGUGCCAGCAGCCGCGGUAAUACGUAGGGUGCGAGCGUUAAUCGGAAUUACUGGGCGUAAAGCGUGCGCAGGCGGUUUUGUAAGUCAGAUGUGAAAUCCCCGAGCUCAACUUGGGAACUGCGUUUGAAACUACAAGACUAGAAUAUGUCAGAGGGGGGUAGAAUUCCACGUGUAGCAGUGAAAUGCGUAGAGAUGUGGAGGAAUACCAAUGGCGAAGGCAGCCCCCUGGGAUAAUAUUGACGCUCAUGCACGAAAG